This 27-nucleotide non-coding RNA is filed under the name Rattus norvegicus (Norway rat). Lineage: Eukaryota; Metazoa; Chordata; Mammalia; Rodentia; Muridae. The record is from RNAcentral.
UAAGCCCAGCAGCGACAAGAUUUUUGA